UUGAGAGCUCCACCUCCCCCCACUGUUUUCGGCCAAGGCAAGAGCAAAUCAACCCCCAUUUUUAGCUUCUCUAAAAUUGAUUCCUUGGUGUAGAUCAACUAUAUUGAAGUCCCCAAGUAGCGUGGAAGAGUUGUUUGAGUCAUCCAACCACUAGUUGUGCCCAAUUUCAAACCCUAACUAUUGAAGGAAGUGAAUAACAAAGACCUUGGGCAGCCCGAAUCAUAGGUUGGGCUUAGCUUGAGUUGGAUCAUAUUGGAUAGCGUUUGAGGUACAGACGCACAGCCUGGUGAUCCACCUGUUUAGGACACCCUUUCUGCUAUUCGGAGUGCUCCUCUCUUUCCGGAGCUUAUACUUUUGGUAUAUAUAUUUAUUAGUGCAUUUGUAUAUAUUCGUUCAUGGGUACGGCGGGGCCCUGUCCCGUCAUACGAUUCUGUCGGUCUGUUUAGAGGUCUGUGGACAUGUUUGUGGGUUAGGGUCUUUCUGUAUGGAUGUAUGUACAUGUCGUUUGGGCGAUCCCAUACGCCGAGGCGGCCGGUCCGCAUAUGUUGUUUGGGCGAUCCUAUACGCCGAGGCGGCCGGUCCGCAUAUGUUUAUAUAUUGCUUGGUUAGCCCUGUGUGGCUUUUGUUGGCAUUUUCUGCGUGCAGGGUAUAUUGGAUAGUCCGUAAAACAAAGGAAACUCUGCCGAAAUUUUUCUGGAAAUUACCUAAAUUUGAAAUAAAGCCUUGUCGGCUUCCGCCAUAUACUAGAAUGAGUUAAUAGAAUUUGAGAUAAUAUUUGAUAGAUGGGUUCGGGUGCCCAGAUCGGGCCCUAGUCACGGCCUACGGGGUUGGGUCGUGACAGUUUCUUCCUUUCUAUCUCUCCAUUUACUAUAUCAAUCCUCUUCUUCUUCUUAAUCUGUUUGUUUAUCUGAUUAAUCCUGUCUGUUUAACGUGAUUAAAGCUUCAUGAAACUCGCUCGAUAAUCUCUCUUAGAAUGAUGCCAGAAGAUACUACUCUCCCAGUACAAUGGAGUUCGUCGUUCAACGAAGACGCAUCGACUUACUUUGAUCCCCGUCUAGAUGUGAACUCCGCUGAAGUUAUGCUUAUUGUGCUCGAUUAAGAACACCCAAGUGAUAUUAUCCAAAACACUAUUACGUUUUAGGUACUAAUGUAACUGUCACAUGUGUUUAACACCUUAAUCAGCGUUCUUGUCUUUCUCUUUUUCUUUUCCAGGUAAAUCUCCUUCAUUUUAGAACGCCUUUCUCUUUUGCUCUACUUCCUCCCACUCGCCAGAGGUAAAGUCUUCCUUGGGUCUUCAAUAUUUUAUUUUUUUCCCCUUAUUUUUGGUUCGUUGUAGUACUGAAGUUUGUAUCUUUCGAUUGUUUUGAAGCUCACUCACUGAAUUAAACAACUCUUAUUUGAUAGUUGUGUUAUUAAUUUUCCAGAAGCCAUCAAACAGGGAUACUCUGACCAUUUUGUUAUGGUGUUACAUUAAUUGUAUUUAUAUUUUAGUUGUUUUAAUUAUGUUUUAUGUUUAGUUGAUUUAAUUAUGUUUUAUGCCUUUUUUAUUUAAGUUCAUUGAUAGAUUUUUCAUAUAAAAUUUAUAUUGAUGUCUCAGGAUCUAACACUAUGUUUGGUAUAGAUCUUCUUCAUUCCGUGACUGUUAUACUAAUCAUUUUCUCUUUAUAUCAUCUUCGUUUCAUUAUUUAUUCAGAUUUUUUGAUGCGGACAUGUUGUUUAGCGCUCAUUCUUCUUCGGCACGUGUACACAGACUUUUCUUUAUAUAAGUUUGUGAAUGCGUACAUGGAGUCCUAUUAUUGUUUACAUUCAUUCAUGUUUGUGAAUUUAAUUUCAUCCUGUCAACUUCGUUAAUCGUUAUAGAUAUGACUGUGAUCUUAUUUGCUUUUUCCUAUGAUAGAUUCUUUUUCCUAUGGGUAACCACUAAUUAGUGAUAAGUUAUGCCUCACUAUGCCUCUUUGGCGUCGAUCUUAUUCCGUAGAUCUGUAUAUGAUGCAAACUUAAGUAAGCGCUACACUUACGAUGAGUACGUCUGGGCUGCUAUUUCCUUGUAUCUCGACGAUAUUAAUAUGUUCCUUUCUCUAACAGUCUUCAGGGUUGUUGAAAGUUAAAAGAGGAUUUCAUACUUGUAUCUACUCUGACAGUUAAAAGAAAAGGGAAUUCCUUCUCAAUGUUUGGUUUUCAUCACUUACUGCUUCAGAACAGACUUCAAAACUGAUCGCAUUUUCUCCAACUUAUUUGGGCAAUAGACUCACGAAGAUCUCCCUGAAUAUGAAAUUAGGUGUGUCCAUUUUAAUAUAUGUAUUGAUUCUUAUCAUUAAGAAAUAAUUUAUUGUUGAGAAAUUAUAUCUUUCGUCACACUCAAAUAUAUGAAUUCUUAGAGACUAAAGUGGAGGAGGGAUUUUU
Lycium barbarum (goji berry) is the source of this 2403-nucleotide long non-coding RNA. RefSeq lists it as uncharacterized. Lineage: Eukaryota; Viridiplantae; Streptophyta; Magnoliopsida; Solanales; Solanaceae. The record is from RefSeq and is a predicted model, not a curated record. The transcript has 4 exons.